AACGAACGCUGGCGGCAUGCCUAACACAUGCAAGUCGAACGAUACCUUCGGGUCUAGUGGCGCACGGGUGCGUAACGCGUGGGAACCUGCCCUUAGGUUCGGAAUAACUCCCCGAAAGGGGUGCUAAUACCGGAUAAUGUCUUCGGACCAAAGAUUUAUCGCCUUUGGAUGGGCCCGCGUUGGAUUAGCUAGUUGGUAGGGUAAAAGCCUACCAAGGCGACGAUCCAUAGCUGGUCUGAGAGGAUGAUCAGCCACACUGGGACUGAGACACGGCCCAGACUCCUACGGGAGGAAGCAGUGGGGAAUAUUGGACAAUGGGCGAAAGACUGAUCCAGCAAUGCCGCGUGAGUGAUGAAGGCCUUAGGGUUGUAAAGCUCUUUUACCCGGGAUGAUAAUGACAGUACCGGGAGAAUAAGCUCCGGCUAACUCCGUG
This 433-nucleotide ribosomal RNA is filed under the name uncultured bacterium. Its description in RNAcentral is "partial 16S ribosomal RNA". It matches the Rfam family "Bacterial small subunit ribosomal RNA", at positions 29 to 507 of the family's 1533-position model. The record is from RNAcentral.